This 249-nucleotide ribosomal RNA is filed under the name uncultured bacterium. RNAcentral's name for it is "partial 16S ribosomal RNA". It matches the Rfam family "Bacterial small subunit ribosomal RNA", at positions 82 to 334 of the family's 1533-position model. The record is from RNAcentral.
CGGACUGAGUAAAGCGGCGGACGGGUGAGUAACGCGUAGGAAUCUACCCAGUGGUGGGGGACAACUUGGGGAAACCCAAGCUAAUACCGCAUACACCCUACGGGGGAAAGCGGGGGACCUUCGGGCCUCGCGCCAUUGGAUGAGCCUGCGUCGGAUUAGCUAGUUGGUAGGGUAAAGGCCUACCAAGGCGACGAUCCGUAGCUGGUCUGAGAGGACGAUCAGCCACACUGGGACUGAGACACGGCCCAG